AAAUGAAUAGACGGGGGCCCGCACAAGCGGUGGAGCAUGUGGUUUAAUUCGAUGCAACGCGAAGAACCUUACCUGGGCUUGACAUCCCGGGAAUCUCCCGGAAACGGGAGAGUGCCUUUCGGGGAACCCGGAGACAGGUGCUGCAUGGCUGUCGUCAGCUCGUGUCGUGAGAUGUUGGGUUAAGUCCCGCAACGAGCGCAACCCUUGUCUUUAAUUGCCAUCAUUAAGCUGGGCACUUUAGAGAGACCGCCGGUGUCAAAUCGGAGGAAGGUGGGGAUGACGUCAAGUCAGCAUGGCCUUUAUGUCCAGGGCUACACACGUGCUACAAUGGGUGGUACAAAGAGCGGCGACCAUGCGAGUGGAAGCAAAUCUCAAAAAGCCAUCCUCAGUUCGGAUUGGAGUCUGCAACUCGACUCCAUGAAGUUGGAAUCGCUAGUAAUCGCGGAUCAGCACGCCGCGGUGAAUACGUUCCCGGGCCUUGUACACACCGCCCGU
This 495-nucleotide ribosomal RNA is filed under the name uncultured bacterium. Its description in RNAcentral is "bacterial SSU rRNA". It matches the Rfam family "Bacterial small subunit ribosomal RNA", at positions 903 to 1397 of the family's 1533-position model. The record is from RNAcentral.